AUCAUUUUGUGGUUCAUAAACAUGAUGAAUGGGUGUUCAUGUGCUUGUGUGAGUUGUGCCUCCCUCCAACCUUGUUACAACAUUGGCACAUUACCCGACUGACA
This is a small nucleolar RNA of Dasypus novemcinctus (nine-banded armadillo), 104 nucleotides long. Lineage: Eukaryota; Metazoa; Chordata; Mammalia; Cingulata; Dasypodidae. The record is from Ensembl.